AAGUCGUAACAAGGUUUCCGUAGGUGAACCUGCGGAAGGAUCAUUAUUGAAUAAACUUGGUUGGGUUGCUGCUGGCUCUCAGGAGCAUGUGCACACUCGCUCCAUUUUUAACCACCUGUGCACACACUGUAGGCCUGAAUGAACUUUUCUGAGGACACUCGGUUUGAGAACUGCUGUGAAAAAUCAGCUGUUCUUGCAUUUCAGGUCUAUGUUUUUAUACAUACACUCAAGUAAUAGAAUGUUAAUUAUAUAGGCCUUCUGUGCCUUUAAUUAAACCUAAUACAACUUUCAACAACGGAUCUCUUGGCUCUC
RNAcentral lists this unclassified non-coding RNA (312 nucleotides) under Entoloma sp. RNAcentral's name for it is "partial internal transcribed spacer region". The stretch from base 1 to 46 matches the Rfam family "Eukaryotic small subunit ribosomal RNA", at positions 1786 to 1831 of the family's 1831-position model. Lineage: Eukaryota; Fungi; Basidiomycota; Agaricomycetes; Agaricales; Entolomataceae. The record is from RNAcentral.